This 158-nucleotide ribosomal RNA is filed under the name Phyllachora sp. XL-2018b. Its description in RNAcentral is "5.8S ribosomal RNA". It matches the Rfam family "5.8S ribosomal RNA". Rfam says of the family: 5.8S ribosomal RNA (5.8S rRNA) is a component of the large subunit of the eukaryotic ribosome. The record is from RNAcentral. Lineage: Eukaryota; Fungi; Ascomycota; Sordariomycetes; Phyllachorales; Phyllachoraceae.
AAACUUUCAACAACGGAUCUCUUGGUUCUGGCAUCGAUGAAGAACGCAGCAAAAUGCGAUAAGUAAUGUGAAUUGCAGAACUCAGCGAAUCAUCGAAUCUUUGAACGCACAUUGCGCCUGCCGGCAUCCCGGUAGGCAUGCCUGUCCGAGCGUCAUUU